UUAGGGCAUGACCUAGGUUUACUCCUAGUUUUAGAGGGUGCGGUGACAAAUUCGACUUAUGUAUCCCGUUUCAGUUUCAUCCUGAUUCCAUACCGAUUUAAAGUCCGCGAUUGGUUAUCGGCUUAUACGACUUGUAUGGUUGGAACAGAGCAUCUCUUCAAGGAAAAUUUUUAAGCCUCCUGGAAGUGCUGACCAAAAAUUUUGGGUUUUGUUUUAUAGCGAGAGUAUCCUUGUGUCGGAUGUAUGAGAGUCAUCUCUACGAGAUGGCUAAGUCUGUUUCGGACGUUAAGAGUUUGUUAUGAUCAUCAACAAACUUAAUGGUAAAAAUAACCGUUUUGAGUCUUCGCGAAGGAUAUGUUUUGAGAAGAUGUUAGU
Molecule: long non-coding RNA, 375 nt
Filed under: Brassica napus (rape)
Lineage: Eukaryota; Viridiplantae; Streptophyta; Magnoliopsida; Brassicales; Brassicaceae
Description: long non-coding RNA (BNAP_LNC020815)
Source: RNAcentral